Long non-coding RNA from Paramisgurnus dabryanus, 1431 nucleotides. RefSeq lists it as uncharacterized. The record is from RefSeq and is a predicted model, not a curated record. Lineage: Eukaryota; Metazoa; Chordata; Actinopteri; Cypriniformes; Cobitidae.
UAAGCGAUUAAAUCUCUCGAGUAGACGCUGUCUCUUUAGAUGCGAGGGAAAAAUAGCACUUUAUGGACUUCCACAGAGGACAUCAUGUUUAAUACGGUUCCGGAAAAAUCCAGUCAAAAGUUGUUCACGGAGUUUUCACAAUAACUGCUUCUCAUGAACCGAAGCUGGAUUUGCGCGACGUCUCCUCUUGAAAGUUGGAUUACUGUGCACUUCUGGAUCACAGGCUGUAAGUAUUCACGUUUAUUAUUUGCCUUUUACUGUACGUUACGUAACCGGUAACCGGAGAUUAACAUAAUGUGCGUGUAGAGCUAAGCUUGCAAGCUAAUUGUUUUGUGUUGUAAUACUGUAUUUCAUAAACAACGUACCAUAUUUACACACGUGUAUGUUGAAUUAUGCAGACUAUCGUUUUUUUUAUCGAUGUUGGUUUAGACAUGUUUACAAACUUGCUAAGUUGCUAAGCUAAAUACAAAUACAAAUGCCAGCUAAACUGUUACCAGUAAAAUUUGUUCUCAUGAUCAAACUCAAGAAACUCUAAGUACAGAUGAUUUGUUUAAAGUUAUAUGUAUUUUACUGUUGUAUUUACUUGAAGCUUUCUUAGAUUUUGAAACGAAGUAAACACGUAAUGUGUGUUGCUAAUGUUGGGCCAUGUAAUAUGUAAUACAUUAACGUUUUAAUGAAUAGUCUAACGAUUUAUAGUCAUGGUACUCUAUUGUUAUAAUAUGUCUUUUUGACUGAAUACAUGUUUGUUUUAUUUGUCUAUAUCUUAGAUUCGCAGCUGGACACAUCCUUCUACACUGUAUGCAAACAUGCAACAUCAUUACACACAGUACAAGGAGUCAGACUGGCAUAUGAGGAGCAAAGGAACCCAGGCAGUAGCAUCGUUUCACAAUGUUUCCAUCACCAUCAUCAGUGGAUGCCUUUGCUGUCCGUAGCCUGAGAUUUCAGAUUUGCAGCAAAAAAAAUUGAUUUUCUCAUUUAUUGGAAUGCUGUGCAGGUAUUUGUACCUUGCAGCCAUCCAUUACAAUGUCACCAAGCCGUAACAAAAGCAGGAGAGGGAAAGUACAAGGCUAUGUUCCCAAAACACACAAGUGACAUACCUUAUGUGGAGGAUGUGAUCAGGCUUGUGUUUGAUGAGGUAUUUGAAGAUAAGCUGAAGGAAACCCCGAUUCCAAUGGACCUGGCAUCACAGUUUGAGAGACCUUCAAAGGAGGACGUGAUUGCAUGCCAUCUUCAGUGCAGGGGUCGUCGAAAGCCAAAAUUGUGACCGAUCUGAUCAGGAAGCUCCAAGCGUAUCUGGAGAACAACACACGACAGGAUGAUAACCUUAUAGUGUCGUCUUAAAUAGCACCAGCUGACAAAGCUUUGAUAUGCCAUUUAUCUGAAUAGAUAGCUGUAAGAAAUGAAUUGAACAAUUUUUGAAACAAGAGCACA